This is a long non-coding RNA of Alligator sinensis (Chinese alligator), 578 nucleotides long. RefSeq lists it as uncharacterized. The record is from RefSeq and is a predicted model, not a curated record. NCBI's taxonomy places the organism in Eukaryota, Metazoa, Chordata, Crocodylia, Alligatoridae. The transcript is spliced from 5 exons.
GUGACCUCUGAGCCCUGGCUGCCUGUGUGUCAAGGUGCCUGGGGGCUAUGGGGUAUGAUGUGCGAUGGACUGAAGGAGAGGGAAGCCUCUGCACAGCACAGAUGAACCAUAGACCGACUGCACGUGAUCCCAGACCUACAGAACUGCACAGAGUGACUCUGGACUAAAGGCUGGUUCUUGGAAACACCUCCGGAUGUCGGCAGGCAGCUGGAUGUGCUGAAUGCCUGGAGGAAGUGGAGAAUCAUAGACCUGAGCUGUUGGAGGAACUGAACAAGAGCUCAGAGUUCCUGGGGUCCAGCCUACACCCGUCCUUUCAGGCAUGACAGCCUGAUUUGCAAACAACAGCCUCUUCAACUUGUUCCCAGAACUGCUCGUUAACUCUGGAGAGGAACCCCACCCUCGAGAACCUCAAGAGCCGCAAGUCCAAGACGCUGCUUGCCAAACGCAGUAUCCGGGUUAUGCAGCUUCCCAGGUUAUAUUUAGAAAACUAUUUGCAGGCAGAACUCACCAGGGAUAAGCCCACAGGCCAGUGAGGAGUGGGAGAGAGAGAAGUGAAUUGCCUGUUUUUUUGUUUUACA